AGAACGAACGCUGGCGGCAUGCCUAACACAUGCAAGUCGAACGAGACCUUCGGGUCUAGUGGCGCACGGGUGCGUAACGCGUGGGAAUCUGCCCUUGGGUUCGGAAUAACAGUUGGAAACGACUGCUAAUACCGGAUGAUGACGUAAGUCCAAAGAUUUAUCGCCCAGGGAUGAGCCCGCGUAGGAUUAGCUAGUUGGUGAGGUAAAGGCUCACCAAGGCGACGAUCCUUAGCUGGUCUGAGAGGAUGAUCAGCCACACUGGGACUGAGACACGGCCCAGACUCCUACGGGAGGCAGCAGUGGGGAAUAUUGGACAACGGGCGAAAGCCUGAUCCAGCAAUGCCGCGUGAGUGAUGAAGGCCUUAGGGUGUAAAGCUCUUUUACCCGGGAUGAUAAUGACAGUACCGGAGAAUAAGCUCCGGCUAACUCCGCGCCAGCAGCCGC
This 444-nucleotide ribosomal RNA is filed under the name uncultured soil bacterium. Its description in RNAcentral is "bacterial SSU rRNA". It matches the Rfam family "Bacterial small subunit ribosomal RNA", at positions 26 to 518 of the family's 1533-position model. The record is from RNAcentral.